GUAACCUGCCUGUAAGACUGGGAUAACUCCGGGAAACCGGAGCUAAUACCGGAUAGUUCCUUGAACCGCAUGGUUCAAGGAUGAAAGACGGUUUCGGCUGUCACUUACAGAUGGACCCGCGGCGCAUUAGCUAGUUGGUGGGGUAAUGGCUCACCAAGGCGACGAUGCGUAGCCGACCUGAGAGGGUGAUCGGCCACACUGGGACUGAGACACGGCCCAGACUCCUACGGGAGGCAGCAGUAGGGAAUCUUCCGCAAUGGACGAAAGUCUGACGGAGCAACGCCGCGUGAGUGAUGAAGGUUUUCGGAUCGUAAAGCUCUGUUGUUAGGGAAGAACAAGUGCGAGAGUAACUGCUCGCACCUUGACGGUACCUAACCAGAAAGCCACGGCUAACUACGUG
This 400-nucleotide ribosomal RNA is filed under the name uncultured bacterium. RNAcentral describes it as "bacterial SSU rRNA". It matches the Rfam family "Bacterial small subunit ribosomal RNA", at positions 121 to 507 of the family's 1533-position model. The record is from RNAcentral.